GAAUCAGCACAGUAUAAGUGGACACUAGCAGAGCACAAGUCUUGAUGAGAGCCAAAAUAGGAACAAAAUGCACGAUUGAUCAGGAUUAGCAAACUGCUGAAUGCCCAUGACUCUUGAUUGAAACCCCCUCCCAGAAAAUUGUUUGAUCACUAGCAUUCAUAAAAGUUACUCCAAAUCUCUGUAAAGAUCACCUGAGGGAGAGAGAGAUACGAAAACGCCGAACACAGAACACAUGGGGUGGUGGCCACCGGAUAUCCCGACCACCACGACAGAUGGCUGAGACCGCCCGUCAUGGUGGUACCCAAACUGCAUUCCAGGUUCUUAACAGAAUCCAUCUCUCUCAACAGAUAACAGAAAACGUCUGCAUAAAUAGAGAUCAAGACGAGGGAAA
Long non-coding RNA from Syzygium oleosum, 391 nucleotides. RefSeq lists it as uncharacterized. The transcript has 2 exons. The record is from RefSeq and is a predicted model, not a curated record. NCBI's taxonomy places the organism in Eukaryota, Viridiplantae, Streptophyta, Magnoliopsida, Myrtales, Myrtaceae.